UGUUGCUCUCACUUUCACGUGGCCCUACCGGAUAUUUGACACAUUCCAAUGGUUACAUUGUCAAUGGAUAUAGAUUUCAUGCAGAAGAUCAUGAUAAAAACUUAAGGACUCAAAAUUGUGGUGUUGUUGUAGUUGGUGAGAAUGAUAAAGAUAGUGAGAACCUUGAUUACAAUGGAGUUUUAAUAGAUGUGAUUGAAUUACAAUUUGUCAUGCAUAGAAGAGUGAUUUUGUUUUGAUGUAAUUGGUUUGAUGUGUAUGAUAAAAUAAAAGGAGUUAAAAAAUAUGAAUAUGACUUUGUGAGUGUUAAUCCAAGGAGAUUUUUGAAAACAAAUGAGCCUUUUGUUUUAGCGGAGCAAGCAUCUCAAGUGUUUUAUGCUAAUGAUAAUUCCAACAAAGGUUGGCAUGUAGUGAGGAAGACUCAACCUCGUGAUUCCUAUGAGAUUGUGAAACAAAUGGAUGAUGAUAUUGUAGACUUAGGAAAUCCUUCUCAAAAGAAACAAAAAAGAACUGAUAAGGUUCAUUAUGAAACCAUUAAAGACUGAAAAUAAAGUGGGAUCAAGUAUGAAGACUACUACCAGAUAUGCAUUCGUCGCGCCAGGUGCUAUAAGAAAGGAACGAGGACGAGGAGGGCUUAGAUCUUUGAUUGGGAAAGAGAAUAUGCCAACUAAGAGUUUAUUUCCUCAAUCUAGUGUUAUAGUUAAGCAAUACAUCCAAGAAAUUGAAACAAGUGCUAUAGAGAAGGGACGGGGACAGGGGCUUAAAAACUCUACGAUAUCUUCUAGUCAACGAAUAGGAAUGAUACAUAAAAAUUACAUGGUUCUUGAGAAAGAGUAUAUGGAAAGUGAUAGUCCAUUGCUUCCAUCCACUGAUCAACUUACGCAAUACACCCAAAAAAUUGAAAC
Lycium ferocissimum is the source of this 902-nucleotide long non-coding RNA. RefSeq lists it as uncharacterized. Lineage: Eukaryota; Viridiplantae; Streptophyta; Magnoliopsida; Solanales; Solanaceae. The record is from RefSeq and is a predicted model, not a curated record. The transcript has 3 exons.